CAGCCCUGUGGUGAAGAACACAUUGGAUUGCAAAUCCCGAAGACGUAGAAUAAUAUUCUGCCGGGGCUUU
RNAcentral lists this transfer RNA (70 nucleotides) under Cirrhinus mrigala (mrigala). Its description in RNAcentral is "tRNA-Cys". It matches the Rfam family "tRNA". From Rfam's summary of the family: Transfer RNA (tRNA) molecules are approximately 80 nucleotides in length. Lineage: Eukaryota; Metazoa; Chordata; Actinopteri; Cypriniformes; Cyprinidae. The record is from RNAcentral.